GCUGUUGACUCUUUGGCGCAUUCCGGAACUUUGUGCGUGCGGCGUAUGUGUGCGGGUUGCGUGAUGUGUUUACUGCGUUUUCUGUGCCCUUUGCCUCGCUGUGACAUCUUUGGUAUAUUCCAACUUGUUGCUCGCUCUUUAUGGGCUACACGUUGCCUCGAAGAUCACCAUGAUCGCCUCCGACUCAGCCACAUCGAAGAAUCAAAAUGAGCCUGGAGACACCACAGCCGGAAUGCGAAAGGUUGGAGAAGUGCUCAUUCAGAUGAUCCUGGCACAGCUUGCCAUGGUGGACCAGGCAAGUUUGCAAGGGCCUUGAUUCACCAUGUGUUCACAAAGAAGAACCUCAUGGGCCACUCACUUCUCGGAAACAACACCACCAAUAGGCAAAAACAGGCUCUUGGCCUUAUCAGGGUCAACACUGUUAUAGGCAAGUACCAUACAUCCUUUUUCCCAUUGCAUUUUUGCAUUCACAUUUUGUACUUGGAAUUACCAGCUUGCUAUUAGCACAACAAAUAACUUUCAAGUAGCCUGUGUCUGCAACUACGUGCUACAAUAGCCUACUAUUUGGAAUGAAUGUUCACUUGAUCUCAAGUCUCUAACGCCUCCAUACUAAAGUGCUAAAUUUUAAAAGCAGCCUUAACUGCCAGAAGUUAUUGGUGGCUCCAACUGACAAAGUUAGGUGUAUUUGCGCAUUAGUUGCACUACUUGACUGUCAUUGCAAUGAAUAGUUGCAAUGAAGCAACUACCAAUCUGUAGUACCAAUCUGUGAAGCACGCUACCAAUCUGGUGGUAUAGAGGGUGUGCUUAAGUAGCCUGAAAGUGUUGUUAUAAUUGUGGAGAAGCUAUGCUCAAGUGCAGUUACUGCUCAACUCGAGGGACAACACUUCCACCAAAUUUCAGCAAUCAAAAUGGCCCUCCAGAUUCUGUAACGCAAAACAUAGUGGUUUCACCUAUUUCAACAGACCACAUUGAAUUAAAGUUGCUCCUGUCUUGAAGGAGGUCCAUGUGGUGGCAGACAGUAGCCUUAGGUGGCAGACAGUAGCAGACAGUAGACAGGGAGCUUAAGUUACGGGGCAUAAUUGUUGGGUUGUUUCGAUCAAAGCAACAAUAGGAACAGUUGCCAACUUCGUUGUCAACAUUGCUAUGUUUAGCAAUGUCCAUUCAUUCUAGGCACUCAACCUAUUAAGAUCCAAUUUAUCACAUUGUAUUCUAAGAUGUGGAAAAAACAAAGGUAUUUAUUUGACUUUUCCUCACGUUCCCAUAAAAUGAUCAGUACUCAAUAGGCCCUUGGCAGCUACUAUAUAAAGCUUCUUACAGAACAUGAAGCAUGUCCACAGCUCCCACUCUGAAAUUGUUGGAAAUGUCUCCUGCUUUCUUACUUCAAGGACGCACUUGCCUGUUUUCAGCGUUAUUAUAAACCAGUGGUCAAGUACUAUGGGUUUAGCUUUAUUAAAGAUUGAAUGAGCUUUGUAGGUGUUCAUGUUUAACCCUUUGAGGAUCACAUAUUUUCUGGAAAUACGUCCCCCAAUUUAAGCAUUAUAUUUUUAUUCUGGAUUGUUCUUCAGAGUGACGUUUCGAGAAAAAAAAUGGGUAAAUAAUUUUUUAGGUCACAAAGUGACAAAGGUUUCUUAGUGUGCACAGUUUUACACCAUGUUUAUUGUAGCAUGCAGGGCAAACUAGCAUAAUCACAUUUUUAAAAUGUAAUGACACUCACAAAACAUUAAACUAGGUGAAUACUCCCAAACUACUGCAGUGAUGGGCACCAUAGAGUAAAGAGAAAGAUCAGUUUUGUAAGAAGCCAAGGGGCAACAGCACAAUCAGGAUUUUUGUAGAAGUCGCAGAAGGUUACAGAAUCUGUAAUGUGAUGCUUGGGGACACUUCAUUCUUAAAAGGCAUGCUUAUUUAUAUGUUCUUUCGCCGCCUCAUAUUUAUGGUCGUGACCACACGAUUUGUUUCCGCCACUCUACAUGCAUGGCAGUGACCCUCAAAGGAUUAGCAGAGUCAGUCCACUUGCAUAUUUCUCUUGUAAGACUGAGCAUUUCUUCGUAUUUCUUCUUCGCAUUUAUUUGUGUUAGUGUAACCAGGUUGGCGCGCAACUGCAGUAAAUCCUCGUUAUAAGCAGUAAUUUCUUUUAAGUAGAGAGGCAUAAGAAUGGCUAUCAUAAUGCGAGAAGUUCACUCCAGUAGCAUAUGAGCUCGUAAAACAAAUUCAGAUAUACCAUACUCAAUUCUGGUCA
Dermacentor silvarum is the source of this 2236-nucleotide long non-coding RNA. RefSeq lists it as uncharacterized. NCBI's taxonomy places the organism in Eukaryota, Metazoa, Arthropoda, Arachnida, Ixodida, Ixodidae. The transcript has 3 exons. The record is from RefSeq and is a predicted model, not a curated record.